UCGACGAAACCAUAUUUGUUUGAGAUAUUCUGCCAAACAGUUGGCAUGCCUUUUGUAUUGUUCCACGGUUUGCAUAUGUUUGCUAUAUUUUUCAAGAAUGUCAUAUGUUAUGCAAUAUCAAGAGAACUCACACCAUGGAAAUGCUCUAGUAGACAAUGUAUGUGAAAUGUGGAAGCUGUCAUGCCAACGUUAAAUUCAUAUGGCCUCCAUUCCUUUAUUGCUAUUGGACCUGUCACUCAAUAAAAUCUGACCAUUCUUUGGCUUAACUUUCAGGGUGAUUGGAACGGUGCCGGUGCUCAUACAAAUUAUAGCACAAAAUCUAUGAGAACCGAUGGUGGAAUCAAUGUGAUCAAGAAGGCCAUUGAAAACCUGGGGCUGAAGCACAAGGAGCACAUUUCUGCAUAUGGAGAGGGCAAUGAGAGGCGUUUGACUGGCAAACAUGAGACAUCAGACAUCAACACAUUUUCCUGGGAUAUGUACAAGGUGGAUUCGGUGAAAAGCGUUUAGGAACUUCAAGCAAAUUCAAUUGGCAGGUGUCAAGCUAGACUCUGCAACCUUUGCCACGAUCCUCGCAGGUUGUGUGAAAUGGGAGCUUUGGAACAGGGCAAGGGCAUCCAUCAAAGCAUAAAAGAUAGAGGUUUUUUUGAGAUAUAGUUGCAACUGCUCUGGUAGACAUGAAUGGGACAUGUGAAACCAUAGACAAGCUACGCGAACUGUUUGACAAAAUGCUCCAAAGAAAUGUGGUUCCAUGGAAUGCGAUGAUUGUUGGAUUUGUUGACAAGACUGGAGAAUCUUCCAAGCAAAUUCUAUCAUUGUGGUGAUGUUUUCAGCUGAAUUCUGUCAGUUCUGGUAUAAAGCACAUUCAUUAACAUAAACA
This is a long non-coding RNA of Cryptomeria japonica (Japanese cedar), 877 nucleotides long. RefSeq lists it as uncharacterized. The transcript has 3 exons. NCBI's taxonomy places the organism in Eukaryota, Viridiplantae, Streptophyta, Pinopsida, Cupressales, Cupressaceae. The record is from RefSeq and is a predicted model, not a curated record.